Molecule: ribosomal RNA, 497 nt
Filed under: uncultured bacterium
Lineage: Bacteria
Description: partial 16S ribosomal RNA
Rfam family: Bacterial small subunit ribosomal RNA
Source: RNAcentral
GAUGAACGCUGGCGGCGUGCCUAAUACAUGCAAGUCGAGCGAACAGACGAGGAGCUUGCUCCUCUGACGUUAGCGGCGGACGGGUGAGUAACACGUGGAUAACCUACCUAUAAGACUGGGAUAACUUCGGGAAACCGGAGCUAAUACCGGAUAAUAUAUUGAACCGCAUGGUUCAAUAGUGAAAGACGGUUUUGCUGUCACUUAUAGAUGGAUCCGCGCCGCAUUAGCUAGUUGGUAAGGUAACGGCGUACCAAGGCGACGAUGCGUAGCCGACCUGAGAGGGUGAUCGGCCACACUGGAACUGAGACACGGUCCAGACUCCUACGGGAGGGAGCAGUAGGGAAUCUUCCGCAAUGGGCGAAAGCCUGACGGAGCAACGCCGCGUGAGUGAUGAAGGUCUUCGGAUCGUAAAACUCUGUUAUUAGGGAAGAACAAAUGUGUAAGUAACUAUGCACGUCUUGACGGUACCUAAUCAGAAAGCCACGGCUAACUACGUG